RNAcentral lists this ribosomal RNA (739 nucleotides) under uncultured marine microorganism. RNAcentral's name for it is "bacterial SSU rRNA". It matches the Rfam family "Bacterial small subunit ribosomal RNA", at positions 8 to 751 of the family's 1533-position model. The record is from RNAcentral.
AGAGUUUGAUCCUGGCUCAGAAUGAACGUUGGCGGCGUGGAUUAGGCAUGCAAGUCGCACGAGACACCAAUUAGCUUGCUAAGAGGUAGACAGUGGCGAAAGGGAGAGUAACGCGUGGUUACUUGCCCUCGAGACCGGGAUAGUGUCGGGAAACUGGCAGUAAUACCGGAUAACAUCUUCGGAUCAAAUGGUGUGAUUCCGCUCGAGGAUAGGACCGCGUACUAUUAGCUUGUUGGUGAGGUAACGGCUCACCAAGGCUGCGAUGGUUACCGGGUGUGAGAGCAUGGCCCGGCUCACUGGGACUGAGACACUGCCCAGACACCUACGGGUGGCUGCAGUCGAGAAUCUUCGGCAAUGGACGAAAGUCUGACCGAGCGACGCCGCGUGCGGGAUGAAGGCCCUCGGGUUGUAAACCGCUGUCAGUAGUUAGGAAAUCCAUGAGGGUUAUCUCUCAUGGUUGACCGAUCUUCAGAGGAAGGACGGGCUAAGUUCGUGCCAGCAGCCGCGGUAAGACGAACCGUCCAAACGUUAUUCGGUAUCACUGGGCUUAAAGCGUGCGUAGGCGGCUUGGUAGGUGAGAUGUGAAAGCCCACGGCUCAACCGUGGAAUUGCGUUUCAAACCCCCAAGCUCGAGGAAGAUAGGGGUGAUGGGAACUUAUGGUGGAGCGGUGAAAUGCGUUGAUAUCAUAGGGAACACCGGUGGCGAAAGCGCAUCACUGGAUCUUUUCUGACGCUGAGG